ACCAUAAUGAGGCAAUUUAAGUAAGAUAGAGGUAUAUAUGAAUUGCAGAGGAACCAACAGUAUCAGGCAAGUCUUCUAAAGCAACAUAUUUAAUGUAAGAGAGAUGGAAAACUGAAGAAUAGGGGGAGACCCUGUCUGGAUCCCUUCAACCCCCCCCCCCCCAAAAAAAAAAAAAAAAGAUAUUAAAGCAUGCUAGAUGAGAACAUCUAAGGUGUAAAAAGAAAACAGAAAACUUUUGCUACCCUUGUAUCAUUGUUAUUAAAGACAUUCACAAUGGACAGGAGCCAAGUGAAAGACAGCAUUAUCUUAUCAGUACAUUGUGUUGCUUUAGCGCACAUCCUUUAAGCAAAUUAAAAAGGAUUGUGAUUCAAAAUGAAAGACCAGAUAGCAAUACCUUGUAAAGGCUGAAACUAAAUCAUCUUUUGUAAAACUAUCUUCCUCAGAGCCAAAAUCAUGCAAAUAUAAACAGUCCGGAAUGCUGCAAGGCUG
Populus euphratica (Euphrates poplar) is the source of this 489-nucleotide long non-coding RNA. RefSeq lists it as uncharacterized. The record is from RefSeq and is a predicted model, not a curated record. The transcript is spliced from 2 exons. NCBI's taxonomy places the organism in Eukaryota, Viridiplantae, Streptophyta, Magnoliopsida, Malpighiales, Salicaceae.